This is a non-coding RNA of Bacteroidales bacterium 43_8, 35 nucleotides long. NCBI's taxonomy places the organism in Bacteria, Pseudomonadati, Bacteroidota, Bacteroidia, Bacteroidales. The record is from Rfam.
AAUGGAAUUUCCGAAAACCAUCAAAAGAGUAGGAA